UUCAGCUCAACAAGAUUAAAUCUUGCCUAAUUUAUGUAUGUUUACGAGCUUAUUCACAUUUUAAUGAUCUUCUCAAUGAUUUUCAAACUAUUCAAAUUAAUAUGAUUUAAUUAUCAAUUCAGCAAACUGAAUCGAUUUAAUUUCUUAUCUUGUGAUAUAUAUUAUAAUUAUAUGAUUCUUGAAAAUACAUGAUUAAUUUAUAUACGUAGACAUUGGGAA
RNAcentral lists this unclassified non-coding RNA (219 nucleotides) under Hevea brasiliensis (rubber tree). The record is from RNAcentral. Lineage: Eukaryota; Viridiplantae; Streptophyta; Magnoliopsida; Malpighiales; Euphorbiaceae.